This is a non-coding RNA of Ipomoea nil (Japanese morning glory), 74 nucleotides long. The record is from the annotation of a RefSeq genome assembly. NCBI's taxonomy places the organism in Eukaryota, Viridiplantae, Streptophyta, Magnoliopsida, Solanales, Convolvulaceae.
CCGACCUUAGCUCAGUUGGUAGAGCGGAGGACUGUAGAUCCUUAGGUCGCUGGUUUCGAAUCCGGCAGGUCGGA